UACGUAGGGUCCGAGCGUUGUCCGGAAUUAUUGGGCGUAAAGGGCUCGUAGGCGGUUUGUCGCGUCGGGAGUGAAUACUCAGGGCUCAACCCUGAGCGUGCUUCCGAUACGGGCAGACUAGAGGUAUGCAGGGGAGAACGGAAUUUCUGGUGUAGCGGUGGAAUGCGCAGAUAUCAGGAGGAACACCGGUGGCGAAGGCGGUUCUCUGGGCAUUACCUGACGCUGAGGAGCGAAAGCAUGGGGAGCGAACAGG
This 253-nucleotide ribosomal RNA is filed under the name uncultured bacterium. Its description in RNAcentral is "partial 16S ribosomal RNA". It matches the Rfam family "Bacterial small subunit ribosomal RNA", at positions 524 to 776 of the family's 1533-position model. The record is from RNAcentral.